Dacryopinax primogenitus is the source of this 83-nucleotide non-coding RNA. Lineage: Eukaryota; Fungi; Basidiomycota; Dacrymycetes; Dacrymycetales; Dacrymycetaceae. The record is from the annotation of a RefSeq genome assembly.
GCCUCCUUGGCCAAAUGGUUACGGCGUCUCCUUCCUACCUUGGUACAAGGAGAAGAUUGCGAGUUCGAUCCUCGCAGGAGGUU